This 600-nucleotide ribosomal RNA is filed under the name uncultured marine bacterium. Its description in RNAcentral is "bacterial SSU rRNA". It matches the Rfam family "Bacterial small subunit ribosomal RNA", at positions 8 to 641 of the family's 1533-position model. The record is from RNAcentral.
AGAGUAUGAUCCUGGCUCAGAACGAACGCUGGCGGCAUGCCUUAUACAUGCAAGUCGAACGAGAAAGUCACUUCGGUGGCGAGUACAGUGGCGCACGGGUGAGUAACGCGUAGAUGAUCUACCCUUCAGUCUGGGACAACUCUUGGAAACGGGAGCUAAUACCGGAUAAAACCUUCGGGUUGAAAGAUUUAUCGCUGGGGGAUGAGUCUGCGUACCAUUAGCUUGUUGGUGGGGUAACGGCCUACCAAGGCGACGAUGGUUAGCGGGUCUGAGAGGACGAUCCGCCACACUGGAACUGAGACACGGUCCAGACUCCUACGGGAGGCAGCAGUAGGGAAUAUUGCGCAAUGGGGGCAACCCUGACGCAGCAAUGCCGCGUGAGUGAAGAAGGCCUUCGGGUCGUAAAGCUCUUUUAUGGGGGAAGAUGAUGACGGUACCCCAUGAAUAAGCACCGGCUAACUACGUGCCAGCAGCCGCGGUAAUACGUAGGGUGCGAGCGUUGUUCGGAAUUACUGGGCGUAAAGGGCGUGCAGGCGGAUUGGCAAGCCGGAGGUGAAAGCCCGGGGCUCAACCCCGGAGGGUCUUUCGGAACUGCCAGUC